Molecule: ribosomal RNA, 468 nt
Filed under: uncultured bacterium
Lineage: Bacteria
Description: partial 16S ribosomal RNA
Rfam family: Bacterial small subunit ribosomal RNA
Source: RNAcentral
GACGAACGCUGGCGGUGUGCUUAACACAUGCAAGUCGAACGGAAAGGCCCUGCUUUUGUGGGGUGCUCGAGUGGCGAACGGGUGAGUAACACGUGAGUAACCUGCCCUUGACUUUGGGAUAACUUCAGGAAACUGGGGCUAAUACCGGAUAGGAGCUCCUGCUGCAUGGUGGGAGUUGGAAAGUUUCGGCGGUUGGGGAUGGACUCGCGGCUUAUCAGCUUGUUGGUGGGGUAGUGGCUUACCAAGGCUUUGACGGGUAGCCGGCCUGAGAGGGUGACCGGCCACAUUGGGACUGAGAUACGGCCCAGACUCCUACGGGAGGCAGCAGUGGGGAAUAUUGCACAAUGGGCGGAAGCCUGAUGCAGCAACGCCGCGUGCGGGAUGACGGCCUUCGGGUUGUAAACCGCUUUCGCCUGUGACGAAGCGUGAGUGACGGUAAUGGGUAAAGAAGCACCGGCUAACUACGUG